RNAcentral lists this small RNA (77 nucleotides) under Azospirillum lipoferum 4B. Its description in RNAcentral is "suhB". It matches the Rfam family "Makes More Granules Regulator RNA (mmgR)". From Rfam's summary of the family: SuhB later renamed mmgR (makes more granules regulator) was a putative non-coding RNA found multiple times in the Agrobacterium tumefaciens genome and related alpha-proteobacteria. Other non-coding RNAs uncovered in the same analysis include: speF, ybhL, metA, and serC. The record is from RNAcentral. Lineage: Bacteria; Pseudomonadati; Pseudomonadota; Alphaproteobacteria; Rhodospirillales; Azospirillaceae.
UUCGAUCGCCUGUCAGGCGUUUCCUCCCUAAACUCGGGCCGCGGCACAAUAGCUAGCGGCCUUUUCCUUUUUCUGCA